Non-coding RNA from Taenia asiatica, 73 nucleotides. The record is from Rfam. Lineage: Eukaryota; Metazoa; Platyhelminthes; Cestoda; Cyclophyllidea; Taeniidae.
GCUUAAAUGGCUCAAUCGGUAGAGCAUUAGAUUUUUAAUCUGAGGGUCCAAGAAUCAAAGCUCUGUUUAGGCG